CCUACGGGAGGCAGCAGUGGGGAAUAUUGGACAAUGGGGGGAACCCUGAUCCAGCGACGCCGCGUGAGUGAAGAAGUAUUUCGGUAUGUAAAGCUCUAUCAGCAGGGAAGAAAAUGACGGUACCUGAGUAAGAAGCCCCGGCUAACUACGUGCCAGCAGCCGCGGUAAUACGUAGGGGGCAAGCGUUAUCCGGAUUUACUGGGUGUAAAGGGAGCGUAGACGGCAGUGCAAGUCUGGAGUGAAAGGCGGGGGCUCAACCCCCGGACUGCUCUGGAAACUGUACGGCUGGAGUGCAGGAGAGGUAAGUGGAAGUCCUAGUGUAGCGGUGAAAUGCGUAGAUAUUAGGAGGAACACCAGUGGCGAAGGCGGCUUACUGGACUGUAACUGACGUUGAGGCUCGAAAGCGUGGGGAGCAAACAGGAUUAGAUACCCGUGUAGUC
Molecule: ribosomal RNA, 440 nt
Filed under: uncultured bacterium
Lineage: Bacteria
Description: partial 16S ribosomal RNA
Rfam family: Bacterial small subunit ribosomal RNA
Source: RNAcentral